RNAcentral lists this ribosomal RNA (757 nucleotides) under marine metagenome. Its description in RNAcentral is "bacterial SSU rRNA". It matches the Rfam family "Bacterial small subunit ribosomal RNA", at positions 761 to 1520 of the family's 1533-position model. The record is from RNAcentral.
GUGGGGAGCAAACAGGAUUAGAUACCCUGGUAGUCCACGCCGUAAACGAUGAGAACUAGCCGUUGGACAUCUUGCAUGUUUAGUGGCGCAGCUAACGCGAUAAGUUCUCCGCCUGGGGAGUACGGCCGCAAGGUUAAAACUCAAAUGAAUUGACGGGGGCCCGCACAAGCGGUGGAGCAUGUGGUUUAAUUCGACGCAACGCGAAGAACCUUACCUACACUUGACAUCCUCGGAACUUUCUAGAGAUAGAUUGGUGCCUUCGGGAACCGAGUGACAGGUGCUGCAUGGCUGUCGUCAGCUCGUGUCGUGAGAUGUUGGGUUAAGUCCCGUAACGAGCGCAACCCUUAUCCUUAUUUGCCAGCGGUUCGGCCGGGAACUCUAAGGAGACUGCCGAUGACAAAUCGGAGGAAGGUGGGGACGACGUCAAGUCAUCAUGGCCCUUACGUGUAGGGCUACACACGUGCUACAAUGGUCGGUACAAACGGUCGCGAACCCGCAAGGGGAAGCCAAUCCGAGAAAGCCGAUCGUAGUCCGGAUUGGGGUCUGCAACUCGACCCCAUGAAGUCGGAAUCGCUAGUAAUCGUGAAUCAGAAUGUCACGGUGAAUACGUUCCCGGGCCUUGUACACACCGCCCGUCACACCAUGGGAGUGGGUUGCACCAGAAGUGGCUAGUCUAACUUCGGAGGACGGUCACCACGGUGUGAUUCAUGACUGGGGUGAAGUCGUAACAAGGUAACCGUAGGGGAACCUGCGGUUG